RNAcentral lists this ribosomal RNA (713 nucleotides) under uncultured bacterium. RNAcentral describes it as "bacterial SSU rRNA". It matches the Rfam family "Bacterial small subunit ribosomal RNA", at positions 773 to 1498 of the family's 1533-position model. The record is from RNAcentral.
CAGGAUUAGAUACCCUGGUAGUCCACGCCGUAAACGAUGUUCACUCGCUGUCUGCGAUAUACAGUAGGCGGCUUAGCGAAAGCAUUAAGUGAACCACCUGGGGAGUACGAUCGCAAGGUUGAAACUCAAAGGAAUUGACGGGGGCCCGCACAAGCGGAGGAACAUGUGGUUUAAUUCGAUGAUACGCGAGGAACCUUACCUGGGCUUAAAUGUAGAUUGCAUAUCUUAGAAAUAGGUUUUCCCUUCGGGGCUAUUUACAAGGUGCUGCAUGGUUGUCGUCAGCUCGUGCCGUGAGGUGUCGGGUUAAGUCCCAUAACGAGCGCAACCCCUAUCGUUAGUUGCCAGCGGAUAAUGCCGGGGACUCUAGCGAGACUGCCACCGUAAGGUGAGAGGAAGGUGGGGAUGACGUCAAAUCAGCACGGCCCUUAUGUCCAGGGCUACACACGUGUUACAAUGGCCGAUACAAAGGGCAGCUACCAGGCAACUGGAUGCUAAUCUCUAAAGUCGGUCCCAGUUCGGAUUGGAGUCUGCAACCCGACUCCAUGAAGUUGGAUUCGCUAGUAAUCGGAUAUCAGCAAUGAUCCGGUGAAUACGUUCCCGGGCCUUGUACACACCGCCCGUCAAACCAUGGAAGCUGGGGGUACCUGAAGUCUGUGACCGCAAGGAGCGGCCUAGGGUAAAACUAGUAACUAGGGUUAAGUCGUAACAAGGUA